This 459-nucleotide ribosomal RNA is filed under the name uncultured bacterium. RNAcentral describes it as "partial 16S ribosomal RNA". It matches the Rfam family "Bacterial small subunit ribosomal RNA", at positions 338 to 795 of the family's 1533-position model. The record is from RNAcentral.
CCUACGGGAGGCAGCAGUGAGGAAUAUUGGUCAAUGGUCGGGAGACUGAACCAGCCAAGCCGCGUGAGGGAGGAAGGUACAGAGUAUCGUAAACCUCUUUUGUCAGGGAACAAAGGCGGGGACGUGUCCCCGGAUGAGUGUACCUGAAGAAAAAGCAUCGGCUAACUCCGUGCCAGCAGCCGCGGUAAUACGGAGGAUGCGAGCGUUAUCCGGAUUUAUGGGGUUUAAAGGGUGCGCAGGCGGUCUGUUAAGUCCGCGGUCAAAGCCCGGGGCUCAACCCCGGCCCGCCGUUGAAACUGGCAGUCUCGAGUUGGAGAGAGGUAUGCGGAAUGCGCGGUGUAGCGGUGAAAUGCAUAGAUAUCGCGCAGAACUCCGAUUGCGAAGGCAGCAUGCCGGCUCCACACUGACGCUGAGGCACGAAAGCGUGGGUAUCGAACAGGAUUAGAUACCCGAGUAGUC